AGCCAAAACCACGAGUCAGACGCUUAACUGAGCUACCCAGGCACCCCAAAAGCCAUGUAUUUGACCCUGAUGAUACUACUUCUUAGAAGAGGCAGAGCACUCAUGAAAUUGGAAUAAAAGAGGGGGGAUAUACAAUUAGAUUGUUCUGAUUGGCCCUUCAUAACAGUAUUUGCAUAGAUACAAUAUAUACAGUAGUACUGAGUUUUUGUUUUUUGUUCUUUGCUUUUCCUAAGGAAGAAAGCCAGAGCUGUGACAUGAGGAUUUCGUAAUGGCAAGAGCAUGAGAUUCCCAGCACUUUCACCAACAGUAAUGGUUGUAUAUUCUGUUUUCAUAAUCUGUCCUCUUGGCCCAGUACUCCUGCCUGCCCUCCACGUCUCUACAGAGGUAAUUAAGUCAGACUGAAGUCACUAUGGUGAACCCGGC
Lutra lutra (Eurasian river otter) is the source of this 423-nucleotide long non-coding RNA. RefSeq lists it as uncharacterized. The transcript has 3 exons. The record is from RefSeq and is a predicted model, not a curated record. NCBI's taxonomy places the organism in Eukaryota, Metazoa, Chordata, Mammalia, Carnivora, Mustelidae.